RNAcentral lists this ribosomal RNA (1509 nucleotides) under Staphylococcus aureus. RNAcentral describes it as "bacterial SSU rRNA". It matches the Rfam family "Bacterial small subunit ribosomal RNA". Lineage: Bacteria; Bacillati; Bacillota; Bacilli; Caryophanales; Staphylococcaceae. The record is from RNAcentral.
UUUUUUUUUUUUUUUUCUCUUCCCCAGAUGACGCGGCGGCGUGCCUAAUACAUGCAAGUCGAGCGAACGGACGAGAAGCUUGCUUCUCUGAUGUUAGCGGCGGACGGGUGAGUAACACGUGGAUAACCUACCUAUAAGACUGGGAUAACUUCGGGAAACCGGAGCUAAUACCGGAUAAUAUUUUGAACCGCAUGGUUCAAAAGUGAAAGACGGUCUUGCUGUCACUUAUAGAUGGAUCCGCGCUGCAUUAGCUAGUUGGUAAGGUAACGGCUUACCAAGGCAACGAUGCAUAGCCGACCUGAGAGGGUGAUCGGCCACACUGGAACUGAGACACGGUCCAGACUCCUACGGGAGGCAGCAGUAGGGAAUCUUCCGCAAUGGGCGAAAGCCUGACGGAGCAACGCCGCGUGAGUGAUGAAGGUCUUCGGAUCGUAAAACUCUGUUAUUAGGGAAGAACAUAUGUGUAAGUAACUGUGCACAUCUUGACGGUACCUAAUCAGAAAGCCACGGCUAACUACGUGCCAGCAGCCGCGGUAAUACGUAGGUGGCAAGCGUUAUCCGGAAUUAUUGGGCGUAAAGCGCGCGUAGGCGGUUUUUUAAGUCUGAUGUGAAAGCCCACGGCUCAACCGUGGAGGGUCAUUGGAAACUGGAAAACUUGAGUGCAGAAGAGGAAAGUGGAAUUCCAUGUGUAGCGGUGAAAUGCGCAGAGAUAUGGAGGAACACCAGUGGCGAAGGCGACUUUCUGGUCUGUAACUGACGCUGAUGUGCGAAAGCGUGGGGAUCAAACAGGAUUAGAUACCCUGGUAGUCCACGCCGUAAACGAUGAGUGCUAAGUGUUAGGGGGUUUCCGCCCCUUAGUGCUGCAGCUAACGCAUUAAGCACUCCGCCUGGGGAGUACGACCGCAAGGUUGAAACUCAAAGGAAUUGACGGGGACCCGCACAAGCGGUGGAGCAUGUGGUUUAAUUCGAAGCAACGCGAAGAACCUUACCAAAUCUUGACAUCCUUUGACAACUCUAGAGAUAGAGCUUUCCCCUUCGGGGGACAAAGUGACAGGUGGUGCAUGGUUGUCGUCAGCUCGUGUCGUGAGAUGUUGGGUUAAGUCCCGCAACGAGCGCAACCCUUAAGCUUAGUUGCCAUCAUUAAGUUGGGCACUCUAAGUUGACUGCCGGUGACAAACCGGAGGAAGGUGGGGAUGACGUCAAAUCAUCAUGCCCCUUAUGAUUUGGGCUACACACGUGCUACAAUGGACAAUACAAAGGGCAGCGAAACCGCGAGGUCAAGCAAAUCCCAUAAAGUUGUUCUCAGUUCGGAUUGUAGUCUGCAACUCGACUACAUGAAGCUGGAAUCGCUAGUAAUCGUAGAUCAGCAUGCUACGGUGAAUACGUUCCCGGGUCUUGUACACACCGCCCGUCACACCACGAGAGUUUGUAACACCCGAAGCCGGUGGAGUAACCUUUUAGGAGCUAGCCGUCGAAGGUGGGACAAAUGAUUGGGGUGAGUCUAAAAGG